UAGAGUUUGAUCCUGGCUCAGGAUGAACGCUGGCGGUAUGCUUAACACAUGCAAGUCGAACGGUGUCUUCGGACACAGUGGCGGACGGGUGAGUAACGCGUGAGAAUCUGGCUUCAGGUCUGGGACAACCACUGGAAACGGUGGCUAAUACCGGAUGUGCCCUGCGGGGUGAAAGGUUAACUGCCUGAAGAUGAGCUCGCGUCUGAUUAGCUAGUAGGUGUGGUAAGAGCGCACCUAGGCGACGAUCAGUAGCUGGUCUGAGAGGACGAUCAGCCACACUGGGACUGAGACACGGCCCAGACUCCUACGGGAGGCAGCAGUGGGGAAUUUUCCGCAAUGGGCGAAAGCCUGACGGAGCAAUACCGCGUGAGGGAGGAAGGCUCUUGGGUCGUAAACCUCUUUUCUCAGGGAAGAAUCAAAUGACGGUACCUGAGGAAUAAGCAUCGGCUAACUCCGUGCCAGCAGCCGCGGUAAUACGGAGGAUGCAAGCGUUAUCCGGAAUGAUUGGGCGUAAAGCGUCCGCAGGUGGCGAUGUAAGUCUGCUGUUAAAGAGUCUAGCUCAACUAGAUAAGAGCAGUGGAAACUACAUACGCUAGAGUACGUUCGGGGGCAGAGGGAAUUCCUGGUGUAGCGGUGAAAUGCGUAGAGAUCAGGAAGAACACCAGUGGCGAAGGCGCUCUGCUAGGCCGUAACUGACACUGAGGGACGAAAGCUAGGGGAGCGAAUGGGAUUAGAUACCCCAGUAGUCCUAGCCGUAAACGAUGGAUACUAGGCGUGGCUUGUAUCGACCCGAGCCGUGCCGUAGCUAACGCGUUAAGUAUCCCGCCUGGGGAGUACGCCGGCAACGGUGAAACUCAAAGGAAUUGACGGGGGCCCGCACAAGCGGUGGAGUAUGUGGUUUAAUUCGAUGCAACGCGAAGAACCUUACCAAGGCUUGACAUGUUGCGAAUCUUGAUGAAAGUUGAGAGUGCCUUCGGGAGCGCGAACACAGGUGGUGCAUGGCUGUCGUCAGCUCGUGUCGUGAGAUGUUGGGUUAAGUCCCGCAACGAGCGCAACCCUCGUUUUUAGUUGCCAGCAUUAAGUUGGGCACUCUAGAGAGACUGCCGGUGACAAACCGGAGGAAGGUGGGGAUGACGUCAAGUCAGCAUGCCCCUUACGCCUUGGGCUACACACGUACUACAAUGCUCCGGACAGAGGGCAGCAAGAUAGCGAUGUCAAGCAAAUCCCGGAAACCGGAGCUCAGUUCAGAUCGCAGGCUGCAACUCGCCUGCGUGAAGGAGGAAUCGCUAGUAAUUGCAGGUCAGCAUACUGCAGUGAAUUCGUUCCCGGGCCUUGUACACACCGCCCGUCACACCAUGGAAGCUGGUAGUGCCCGAAGUCAUUACUCCAACCGUUCGCGGGGGAGGAUGCCUAAGGCAGGACUGGUGACUGGGGUGAAGUCGUAACAAGGUAGCCGUACCGGAAGGUGUGGCUGGAUCACCUCCUUU
RNAcentral lists this ribosomal RNA (1487 nucleotides) under Nostoc favosum CHAB5709. RNAcentral's name for it is "bacterial SSU rRNA". It matches the Rfam family "Bacterial small subunit ribosomal RNA". The record is from RNAcentral. RNAcentral also lists the same sequence under 1 other name. Lineage: Bacteria; Bacillati; Cyanobacteriota; Cyanophyceae; Nostocales; Nostocaceae.